UUCAAAAUACCCACAGUUGCUGUGAACACACAUUUCAUUAUUAUUGAAAACGUGCUUUUUGUAAUUUUAACUUAAAUUAUUCACCAUAUCUUUCAAUUACUGUCAUGGUUUAUGCCUGUGGCUCCCAGGCCUCAUGAGUUUGCAUUGCAUAUUUCUGAUUGGUUCAUUGUCUAGUGCUUGGAUUGAUGGUGUCAGUGCUCCACCCACAAAGGGGUAAAACCAAGAUAUGAUGUAAUGGCAGGAAGAAGGUGUGUCUUGCUCUUUUGCCAGUUUCUGCCUUGCUGUUUGCAGCCGCCAUGAACUGUGGCCCCGCCAGACCACCCUGUCUUGGAGCCAAUUGAGUAUGGACUGAAACCUCCAAAAACUGAUUCCUGAAGACAGGCAUCAAAAGCAAACAUACACAAAUGGAAUUUCAUGAAACUAAAACUCUUCUAUAUAGCAAAGAGAAAAAUUAACAGAAUGAAGAUUUGGGGAUUUGGAGACAAUAUUUGCAAAACAUACGUCUAGGAUUCAAAAUUUGCAAGGAAAGAACUCAAACAUCUCAAUAGCAAAUAAACAAUUCAGUUACAAUGGACAAGUGAAUGAAUAGACAUUUCUCAAAAGAAGACCUACUAAUGGCCAAGACAAGUGAGAAGUGACCAGUAUCACCACUCUUCGCAAUAAAAAUUUGAACCACAAUAAGGUCUUAUUUUUCCUGAGUUAAGGUAGGCAUCAUCAAAAAGAAAGUGAUAGCAAAGAUGUAGACAAAAGGGAACACUUGCACAUUACUGGCAGGAAUGUAAAUCAGUACAGCCAUUUUGGAACAUAGUAUAGCAGACCCUAAAAAACUAAAAAUAAUGCUAUCAGCAAUCCGACUCUUUAAUACAUGCCCAAAGGGAUUGUAAUCCCUAUGUCACAGGGAUCUGCACUCCCAUGGUCAUUUCAGUGUUAUACCCAACUGUCACGAUAUGGAAGCAACCUAAGUGUACAUCAACAGAUGAACAGAUAAAGGAAAUGUGUGUGCAAAAAUGAAUACUGUACAGCUCUGAAAAGGAAAUUACGUCAUUCACUACAACAUGGAUGAGAACAUGAAUGGACCCGAAGGAUAUCAUAACGCUGUUCUUGUUUCCCAUCAUCAAGUCUGCGGGAGGUUGGAUGUGCCCAGGAGUUCUCCAAGAGUCCCCUGGGAUCAAGAUCUUCCAGGCUGAUACAGCUGGGAGGUGCUGAAAAAGGUCCUCAGGUCGCAGGAGGGCUGCAGUCACCAGGCACCGUGCAGUGGGAACCUGUCCCUCAGACUGCCUGUCUGGCGAUGCAAGCUCUUCAUACAUGUCCCUGCCACCAUGUGCCACCAUGUGUUACCAUGCACAGGCCAGCCCAAAGGAUCUGCCCAUUGGGACCUUGAACCCCCAAAAACCUGUGAGCAAGAUAACCCAUUAAUUUUUAUAAAGUUAACUCAUUCUAGUGGUGAAACUCUUACCAACACAAAAUAUUGUCAUCCCUACUUGUAUCCUGAACACAUUUGUGUGUAUAUCGUCAUCUCAAGACAUUUUCACCCUGCUCUAGCAUGAAAGCUACUUGUCCAUUUCAUUUUUCUGUCUUCCCCUGACACACCUAUCUCACCCAUCUUCUGUUCCCUUAAAUACACCUGUCUCUUGAACGUGGUCAGAACUCAAUAUGUAUUUAAUUCAACUCAAGCUGAAUUAAAUGAAACCAAGGCACAUAUAGUCAUGUAUCUGCAGCUGUAUUCCCUUACAUUGAUAAGUGAUGACCUCACCUGCCUCUUGCUGGUAGAUAAAAUUAUUUUAAUAGCUUGGUAAGUAUAUUUUUCACAAAAUAUGAGUCAUAAAUUCACUCAACAAUGGUGGGUUUCUCUUGCAUAAAUAACUUCAAAAGCAUCUUCUAUUCUAUAAUCAGUGCAUUCGAAUGUGUAGCAUUUAAGAUCUGCAGACCAGUGAGCUCCAGCCAAGAAUUUCAUGCUCAACCUUGGACUUCUAAAUUCAGACCACGAUAUUUCAGAACACAAAGACAUCCUGGUGAAUAGAAACCAUAGAACUGAGGUCCUCAUGAGUCAUAAGCAAUGUUCUAUUUCCCCGUCUGUUCCACCAAGUACUGCUUUGUUUAACCACAUAUAUUUUCCAGGAGAAACUUGGACCCAAAAAGAAUAGACACAUGUAAGAUAAUUGAAUAAAGUAU
Long non-coding RNA from Cavia porcellus (domestic guinea pig), 2172 nucleotides. RefSeq lists it as uncharacterized. The record is from RefSeq and is a predicted model, not a curated record. Lineage: Eukaryota; Metazoa; Chordata; Mammalia; Rodentia; Caviidae. The transcript has 3 exons.